RNAcentral lists this ribosomal RNA (216 nucleotides) under Campeiostachys nutans. RNAcentral describes it as "Elymus nutans partial small subunit ribosomal RNA". The stretch from base 44 to 216 matches the Rfam family "Eukaryotic small subunit ribosomal RNA", at positions 690 to 864 of the family's 1831-position model. Lineage: Eukaryota; Viridiplantae; Streptophyta; Magnoliopsida; Poales; Poaceae. The record is from RNAcentral.
GGGUUAGUAGAUCGGUCGUGCCACUGGUAUGUACUGGUCUCACUGAUUCCUCCUUCCUGGUGAACCGUAAUGCCAUUAAUUUGGUGUUGCGGGGAGACUGGACUGUUACUUUGAAAAAAUUAGAGUGUUUAAAGCAGGCUAACGCUUGAAUACAUUAGCAUGGAAUAACGGAAUAGGACGUUCGAUCUUAUUUUGUUGGUUUCUAGGAACGCCGUA